This is a long non-coding RNA of Entelurus aequoreus (snake pipefish), 363 nucleotides long. RefSeq lists it as uncharacterized. Lineage: Eukaryota; Metazoa; Chordata; Actinopteri; Syngnathiformes; Syngnathidae. The transcript has 3 exons. The record is from RefSeq and is a predicted model, not a curated record.
AGGGGUGUUUACAAGCAGAUGACCACAGCUGAAGUGGAUUGUGAGCUUGGAGAGGUCCUGAAACUGGCCACUUUUCGAAAGGGAGGUUCAAAAUUUGAGGAGAAGAGGAGGAAUUAAGAGGGAGGACAAAAAAGGAAAAAGAAACAAGCAAAAGAACAGAGUGAGAUGAGAGGAUUUGGGUUUCCCUGCUUGGGCUGCUGCCCCCGCGACCCGACCUCGGAUAAGCGGAAGAAGAUGGAUGGAUGGAUGGAUGGAUGGAUUUACUUCCAGGAAGAGAACCAAGAAGGGGCAGGAUACACUGACGCGCACGACCAAGACCACUGCAUUCCAUUCCAUUUAUAAAUGAUAAAUGAUAAAUGGGUU